AGAGUUUGAUCCUGGCUCAGGAUGAACGCUGGCGGCGUGCCUAACACAUGCAAGUCGAACGGACCCAUGGAAAUGAUUAGCUUGCUAUGAAAUCCGGAAGGUUAGUGGCGGACGGGUGAGUAACGCGUGGGCAACCUGCCCUGUACUGGGGGAUAGCAGCUGGAAACGGCUGGUAAUACCGCAUAAGCGCACAGUACCGCAUGGUACAGUGUGAAAAGCUCCGACGGUACAGGAUGGGCCCGCGUCCGAUUAGCCAGUUGGCGGGGUAACGGCCCACCAAAGCAACGAUCGGUAGCCGGCCUGAGAGGGCGGACGGCCACAUUGGGACUGAGACACGGCCCAGACUCCUACGGGAGGCAGCAGUGGGGGAUAUUGCACAAUGGGGGAAACCCUGAUGCCAGCGACGCCGCGUGGGUGAAGAAGUAUUUCGGUAUGUAAAGCCCUAUCAGCAGGGACGAUAAUGACGGUACCUGAGUAAGAAGCCCCGGCUAACUACGUGCCAGCAGCUGC
RNAcentral lists this ribosomal RNA (510 nucleotides) under uncultured bacterium. RNAcentral's name for it is "bacterial SSU rRNA". It matches the Rfam family "Bacterial small subunit ribosomal RNA", at positions 8 to 518 of the family's 1533-position model. The record is from RNAcentral.